AGCGCAGGCGGGAAGACAAGUUGGAAGUGAAAUCCAUGGGCUCAACCCAUGAACUGCUUUCAAAACUGUUUUUCUUGAGUAGUGCAGAGGUAGGCGGAAUUCCCGGUGUAGCGGUGGAAUGCUAGAUAUCGGGAGGAACACCAGUGGCGAAGGCGGCCUACUGGGCACCAACUGACGCUGAGGCUCGAAAGUGUGGGUAGCAAACA
Molecule: ribosomal RNA, 206 nt
Filed under: uncultured bacterium
Lineage: Bacteria
Description: partial 16S ribosomal RNA
Rfam family: Bacterial small subunit ribosomal RNA
Source: RNAcentral